CAUGCAAGUCGAACGAACUCUGGUAUUGAUUGGUGCUUGCAUCAUGAUUUACAUUUGAGUGAGUGGCGAACUGGUGAGUAACACGUGGGAAACCUGCCCAGAAGCGGGGGAUAACACCUGGAAACAGAUGCUAAUACCGCAUAACAACUUGGACCGCAUGGUCCGAGUUUGAAAGAUGGCUUCGGCUAUCACUUUUGGAUGGUCCCGCGGCGUAUUAGCUAGAUGGUGGGGUAACGGCUCACCAUGGCAAUGAUACGUAGCCGACCUGAGAGGGUAAUCGGCCACAUUGGGACUGAGACACGGCCCAAACUCCUACGGGAGGCAGCAGUAGGGAAUCUUCCACAAUGGACGAAAGUCUGAUGGAGCAACGCCGCGUGAGUGAAGAAGGGUUUCGGCUCGUAAAACUCUGUUGUUAAAGAAGAACAUAUCUGAGAGUAACUGUUCAGGUAUUGACGGUAUUUAACCAGAAAGCCACGGCUAACUACGUGCCAGCAGCCGCGGUAAUACGUAGGUGGCAAGCGUUGUCCGGAUUUAUUGGGCGUAAAGCGAGCGCAGGCGGUUUUUUAAGUCUGAUGUGAAAGCCUUCGGCUCAACCGAAGAAGUGCAUCGGAAACUGGGAAACUUGAGUGCAGAAGAGGACAGUGGAACUCCAUGUGUAGCGGUGAAAUGCGUAGAUAUAUGGAAGAACACCAGUGGCGAAGGCGGCUGUCUGGUCUGUAACUGACGCUGAGGCUCGAAAGUAUGGGUAGCAAACAGGAUUAGAUACCCUGGUAGUCCAUACCGUAAACGAUGAAUGCUAAGUGUUGGAGGGUUUCCGCCCUUCAGUGCUGCAGCUAACGCAUUAAGCAUUCCGCCUGGGGAGUACGGCCGCAAGGCUGAAACUCAAAGGAAUUGACGGGGGCCCGCACAAGCGGUGGAGCAUGUGGUUUAAUUCGAAGCUACGCGAAGAACCUUACCAGGUCUUGACAUACUAUGCAAAUCUAAGAGAUUAGACGUUCCCUUCGGGGACAUGGAUACAGGUGGUGCAUGGUUGUCGUCAGCUCGUGUCGUGAGAUGUUGGGUUAAGUCCCGCAACGAGCGCAACCCUUAUUAUCAGUUGCCAGCAUUAAGUUGGGCACUCUGGUGAGACUGCCGGUGACAAACCGGAGGAAGGUGGGGAUGACGUCAAAUCAUCAUGCCCCUUAUGACCUGGGCUACACACGUGCUACAAUGGAUGGUACAACGAGUUGCGAACUCGCGAGAGUAAGCUAAUCUCUUAAAGCCAUUCUCAGUUCGGAUUGUAGGCUGCAACUCGCCUACAUGAAGUCGGAAUCGCUAGUAAUCGCGGAUCAGCAUGCCGCGGUGAAUACGUUCCCGGGCCUUGUACACACCGCCCGUCACACCAUGAGAGUUUGUAACACCCAAAGUCGGUGGGGUAACCUUUUAGGAACCAGCCGCCUAAGGUGGGACAGAUGAUUAGGGUGAAGU
Molecule: ribosomal RNA, 1467 nt
Filed under: Lactiplantibacillus plantarum
Lineage: Bacteria; Bacillati; Bacillota; Bacilli; Lactobacillales; Lactobacillaceae
Description: bacterial SSU rRNA
Rfam family: Bacterial small subunit ribosomal RNA
Source: RNAcentral